UGAACUAUGGUGUAAUGGUAACACACAAGAUUUUGGUUCUUGGAUUUCUGGUUCGAGUCCAGAUGGUUCAA
RNAcentral lists this transfer RNA (71 nucleotides) under Bacilli bacterium. Its description in RNAcentral is "tRNA-Gln". It matches the Rfam family "tRNA". Rfam says of the family: Transfer RNA (tRNA) molecules are approximately 80 nucleotides in length. Their secondary structure includes four short double-helical elements and three loops (D, anti-codon, and T loops). Lineage: Bacteria; Bacillati; Bacillota; Bacilli. The record is from RNAcentral. RNAcentral also lists the same sequence under 2 other names.